Panthera uncia (snow leopard) is the source of this 832-nucleotide long non-coding RNA. RefSeq lists it as uncharacterized. The transcript has 3 exons. Lineage: Eukaryota; Metazoa; Chordata; Mammalia; Carnivora; Felidae. The record is from RefSeq and is a predicted model, not a curated record.
CAGGAUCCACAUAAAAGUGAAAACAUAUGGUAUCUGUCUUUCUCUGUAUGGCUUAUUUCACUUAGCAUAACACUCUCCAGUUCCAUCCAUAUAUCACAUUUUUUAAACUGCUAUUUCUAUAAUCUGAGGUGUUCAUACUUUUUCCCAUUCAUAAAGUUAGUGAUCUUCAUAGCUAACUUGAUUCCCUGGCACAUUUCAAUAUUUUAACUUUGUAGACCACAGGCAGAUGUUUAAUGUGCAGGAGAAUGGAGUGGCUCUUAUUCUUGCUGUAGAUGUAAACAUUUUCUAAGUUGGUAUGUUUCGCACUUAAUUCUGGAUUUUUGCAUAAAAGACAGAUAGUAUGUUGUAAUCCUAGAUAAUGUAGCAUGCUUUCUUUACACUAGAUAAACGGUUGGCAGGGAAAUGAGCUACCUAAUUCCUGGGAGACUGACUGAUUUAGGACUCCAGUGCUGUGCUCUGUAUCCACCAGCAUCCAGUUCAUGUGCAUAUUUCCAAAGGCUGCUUGCUCCCAGGAAAUGACUGAGCACAGCAGAAGACUAUGACAGACCUGUUCCUGAAGGGUGACUUUGGCUGAAGGACUCCGUGAUGACCUUGAUGAAGUGUCUUAGAACUGCCCUGGAAAAGGAGGAGAAGAAACUAAUGAAGGAAGAGAUUAAGAAGUAGCCCCCAAGGUCACUGAGGUAAGCAGAGGAAAAUUUGGAGGGAAGGAAGCCUCAUGAGAGAGUCUACAUCUUAAUCAGCUUGAAAUCCUGCCUCUCAGGAUAAGCUAUGGGGAUAAAUGUAUCAGAGUUAUACACGAAAACCAUUGAAUUAAGGUUGUUUUAUAUUAGUU